RNAcentral lists this ribosomal RNA (840 nucleotides) under Marophrys nikolaevi. Its description in RNAcentral is "SSU rRNA". It matches the Rfam family "Eukaryotic small subunit ribosomal RNA", at positions 738 to 1502 of the family's 1831-position model. Lineage: Eukaryota; Centroplasthelida; Acanthocystida. The record is from RNAcentral.
GGGAUUCCGAUAGUUUACUUUGAGAAAAAUGGAGUGUUCAAAGCAGGCGGAUUCAAAUCGCUCGAUGAACAACUUAGCAUGGGAUAAUGGAAGAGGACAUUGGUUCCUUUCUUUCAAGGCGUGUUCGCAAGCAAUAAUGGUGCGGGUCCGAUGUAAUGAUUAAUAGGAACAGUUGGGGCGAUUCAUAUUCCGUGGCUAGAGGUGAAAUUCUUGGAUUCGCGGAAGAUGCGCGGCUGCGAAAGCGUCUGGCCAGGAUGUUUUCGUUGAUCAAGAACGAAAGUCAGGGGAGCAAAGAUGAUUAGAAACCGUUGUAGUCCUAGACCGUAAACGAUGCCGACUCGGGAUUGGAGGGCGCUGAAUCAAGAGGGGGUCGGGGUUCAUCCCUCGGCUUAUACUUUGUAUGGCCCCUCCAGCAGCCGCUCUUCAUUUAAAGGGAAACCAAAGUUCAUGGGUUCCGGGGGGAGUAUGGUCGCAAGGCUGAAACUUAAAGGAAUAGACGGAAGGGCACCACAACAGGCGUGGAGCAUGCGGCCCAACGCGACUCAACCCGGCGAAGCUCACCAGGCCCAGACAUGGCGAGGAUUGACAGAUUGAGAGCUCUUUCUUGAUUCCAUGAAAGGUGGCGCAUGGCCGUUCGUAGUUGGUGGAGUGAUUUGUCUGGUUGAUUCCGAUAACGAACGAGACCUUGGCGGGGAUGGCUGGGGGAGCGAAUGGUUUUCCUAUCAUUCUGCUUAAUUCAAACCCCUCCUGCCCGGACGUUCUGUGUUGCAGCAGACGGAAGUGCGAGGCAAUAACAGGUCUGUGAUGCCCUUAGAUGUCCUGGGCUGCACGCGUGCUACA